This 62-nucleotide transfer RNA is filed under the name Branchinecta paludosa. RNAcentral describes it as "tRNA-Phe". It matches the Rfam family "tRNA". Rfam says of the family: Transfer RNA (tRNA) molecules are approximately 80 nucleotides in length. Their secondary structure includes four short double-helical elements and three loops (D, anti-codon, and T loops). The record is from RNAcentral. Lineage: Eukaryota; Metazoa; Arthropoda; Branchiopoda; Anostraca; Branchinectidae.
AUUUCCAUAGCUUAAAAAGAGCAUAACACUGAAGAUGUUAAGGUGAAUUCUUUCUGGGAAUA